RNAcentral lists this ribosomal RNA (948 nucleotides) under uncultured prokaryote. Its description in RNAcentral is "bacterial SSU rRNA". It matches the Rfam family "Bacterial small subunit ribosomal RNA", at positions 40 to 982 of the family's 1533-position model. The record is from RNAcentral.
CGGCGGCCUACCAUGCAAGUCGACGGUAGCACAGAGAGCUUGCUCUCGGGUGACGAGUGGCGGACGGGUGAGUAAUGUCUGGGAAACUGCCUGAUGGAGGGGGAUAACUACUGGAAACGGUAGCUAAUACCGCAUAACGUCGCAAGACCAAAGAGGGGGACCUUCGGGCCUCUUGCCAUCAGAUGUGCCCAGAUGGGAUUAGCUAGUAGGUGGGGUAACGGCUCACCUAGGCGACGAUCCCUAGCUGGUCUGAGAGGAUGACCAGCCACACUGGAACUGAGACACGGUCCAGACUCCUACGGGAGGCAGCAGUGGGGAAUAUUGCACAAUGGGCGCAAGCCUGAUGCAGCCAUGCCGCGUGUAUGAAGAAGGCCUUCGGGUUGUAAAGUACUUUCAGCGGGGAGGAAGGGAGUAAGGUUAAUAACCUUGCUCAUUGACGUUACCCGCAGAAGAAGCACCGGCUAACUCCGUGCCAGCAGCCGCGGUAAUACGGAGGGUGCAAGCGUUAAUCGGAAUUACUGGGCGUAAAGCGCACGCAGGCGGUCUGUCAAGUCGGAUGUGAAAUCCCCGGGCUCAACCUGGGAACUGCAUCCGAAACUGGCAGGCUUGAGUCUCGUAGAGGGAGGUAGAAUUCCAGGUGUAGCGGUGAAAUGCGUAGAGAUCUGGAGGAAUACCGGUGGCGAAGGCGGCCUCCUGGACGAAGACUGACGCUCAGGUGCGAAAGCGUGGGGGAGCAAACAGGAUUAGAUACCCUGGUAGUCCACGCCGUAAACGAUGUCUAUUUGGAGGUUGUGCCCUUGAGGCGUGGCUUCCGGAGCUAACGCGUUAAAUAGACCGCCUGGGGAGUACGGCCGCAAGGGUUAAAACUCAAAUGAAUUGACGGGGGCCCGCACAAGCGGUGGAGCAUGUGGUUUAAUUCGAUGCAACGCGAGAACCUUACCUGGUCCU